Molecule: ribosomal RNA, 358 nt
Filed under: uncultured Thiobacillus sp.
Lineage: Bacteria; Pseudomonadati; Pseudomonadota; Betaproteobacteria; Nitrosomonadales; Thiobacillaceae
Description: bacterial SSU rRNA
Rfam family: Bacterial small subunit ribosomal RNA
Source: RNAcentral
GAGAGCCGUAACACAGUGCUGCAUGGCUGUCGUCAGCUCGUGUCGUGAGAUGUUGGGUUAAGUCCCGCAACGAGCGCAACCCUUGUCCAUUAGUUGCUACAUUCAGUUGGGCACUCUAAUGAGACUGCCGGUGACAAGCCGGAGGAAGGUGGGGAUGACGUCAAGUCCUCAUGGCCCUUAUGGGUAGGGCUUCACACGUCAUACAAUGGUCGGUACAGAGGGUUGCCAAGCCGCGAGGUGGAGCCAAUCCCAGAAAGCCGAUCGUAGUCCGGAUUGUUCUCUGCAACUCGAGAGCAUGGAGUCGGAAUCGCUAGUAAUCGCGGAUCAGCAUGUCGCGGUGAAUACGUUCCCGGGUCUU